RNAcentral lists this ribosomal RNA (503 nucleotides) under uncultured bacterium. RNAcentral describes it as "partial 16S ribosomal RNA". It matches the Rfam family "Bacterial small subunit ribosomal RNA", at positions 30 to 523 of the family's 1533-position model. The record is from RNAcentral.
AUUGAACGCUGGCGGCAGGCUUAACACAUGCAAGUCGAGCGGGGUGAUGGUGCUUGCACUAUCACUUAGCGGCGGACGGGUGAGUAAUGCUUAGGAAUCUGCCUAUUAGUGGGGGACAACAUCUCGAAAGGGAUGCUAAUACCUCAUACGUCCUACGGGAGAAAGCAGGGGAUCACUGGUGACCUUGCGCUAAUAGAUGAGCCUAGGUCGGAUUAGCUAGUUGGUGGGGUAAAGGCCUACCAAGGCGACGAUCUGUAGCGGGUCUGAGAGGAUGAUCCGCCACACUGGGACUGAGACACGGCCCAGACUCCUACGGGGGGCAGCAGUGGGGAAUAUUGGACAAUGGGGGGAACCCUGAUCCGGCCAUGCCGCGUGUGUGAAGAAGGCCUUAUGGUUGUAAAGCACUUUAAGCGAGGAGGAGGCUCUUUUGGUUAAUACCCAAGAUGAGUGGACGUUACUCGCAGAAUAAGCACCGGCUAACUCUGUGCCAGCCGCCGCUGUAA